RNAcentral lists this ribosomal RNA (491 nucleotides) under Escherichia coli. Its description in RNAcentral is "partial 23S ribosomal RNA". It matches the Rfam family "Bacterial large subunit ribosomal RNA", at positions 1273 to 1766 of the family's 2925-position model. Lineage: Bacteria; Pseudomonadati; Pseudomonadota; Gammaproteobacteria; Enterobacterales; Enterobacteriaceae. The record is from RNAcentral.
CUGGAGGUAUCAGAAGUGCGAAUGCUGACAUAAGUAACGAUAAAGCGGGUGAAAAGCCCGCUCGCCGGAAGACCAAGGGUUCCUGUCCAACGUUAAUCGGGGCAGGGUGAGUCGACCCCUAAGGCGAGGCCGAAAGGCGUAGUCGAUGGGAAACAGGUUAAUAUUCCUGUACUUGGUGUUACUGCGAAGGGGGGACGGAGAAGGCUAUGUUGGCCGGGCGACGGUUGUCCCGGUUUAAGCGUGUAGGCUGGUUUUCCAGGCAAAUCCGGAAAAUCAAGGCUGAGGCGUGAUGACGAGGCACUACGGUGCUGAAGCAACAAAUGCCCUGCUUCCAGGAAAAGCCUCUAAGCAUCAGGUAACAUCAAAUCGUACCCCAAACCGACACAGGUGGUCAGGUAGAGAAUACCAAGGCGCUUGAGAGAACUCGGGUGAAGGAACUAGGCAAAAUGGUGCCGUAACUUCGGGAGAAGGCACGCUGAUAUGUAGGUGAA